Molecule: long non-coding RNA, 308 nt
Filed under: Homo sapiens (human)
Lineage: Eukaryota; Metazoa; Chordata; Mammalia; Primates; Hominidae
Description: HSALNT0324562
Source: RNAcentral
GUUCAGUGAGUGCUCCUACUUUCCGUGGCACCCAGCCUUCUUUCUCUCCGUGCUCCUCUGCAUUUACCAUCUCGCAGGAACCAAUUGAUGCUGAAAUGGAUAGAAGUAGCACGAGUGAAAACUGAAGCAGAGGCAUCAGGAAGACGCAUCCUCAGAAGCUGUAAGACAGCAUGGCGUGGGAGACGGCCCCUCUGUUUCGUCUCCUCAAGUUCCGUGGCAGACUAGUAAGACUGAGUUUGACACCUUGGGAGAGACACGUCUGCCAAGUUUGUCAUCCAUUAAAUUCACAUUAAAUGAUAAGAGUUGAC